This 253-nucleotide ribosomal RNA is filed under the name uncultured bacterium. Its description in RNAcentral is "partial 16S ribosomal RNA". It matches the Rfam family "Bacterial small subunit ribosomal RNA", at positions 524 to 776 of the family's 1533-position model. The record is from RNAcentral.
UACGUAGGGUGCGAGCGUUAAUCGGAAUUACUGGGCGUAAAGCGUGCGCAGGCGGUGAUGUAAGACAGUUGUGAAAUCCCCGGGCUCAACCUGGGAACUGCAUCUGUGACUGCAUCGCUGGAGUGCGGCAGAGGGGGAUGGAAUUCCGCGUGUAGCAGUGAAAUGCGUAGAUAUGCGGAGGAACACCGAUGGCGAAGGCAAUCCCCUGGGCCUGCACUGACGCUCAUGCACGAAAGCGUAGGGAGCAAACAGG